AUGGUUUCUGAAAAUCAAAUAUUAAUUGGGAUCAUCAAUCGCGAUUUGUGUAGCAAGCUAGAAAAGCAACUUACCUAUUUUAUAUCAAAUUAAUAUAUAGGAAGCUAUAUACAGCAAUGUUAGAAAAAUAAUUUAUCUAUUUCGUCAUUUAUAAUCGAUAUGUGAUAAGGUAAUUGCAUAUGCAUUUGCGCAAGCAUGUCGAUAAGUAUAUGAAAAGACCCAUGACUAAGGAACAAAGAUAUAUAAACGACAUGCAACCGAAAAGAGUCCAUAAGUUUAUUUCAAUUUACAUUCGUUAGUUGCAAUAUUUGAUUAAGACGCAAUACGAUUGAUCUAAGUUCUAGAAAUCAAAAGAAAUACAAUUUCGUUCUACAUACAAGAAAAAUAAAUAUUAAAAAGAUGAAGUACAUUAUUUUCACUAUUCUUAUCAUAAUUGUUAUGGCUCUUGCGGUUCCUCAAGGGGAUAAAAAAGAUGAGUGUAUCGGUCAAUAUUGUAGUAAAACUAGUGAUGACUUGUUGUCCUGAUUUGAUAUGUUGGGACUAUUUUGCAAAAUGUAUAAGAAAAUAGGUUUAUCCGGUUAAAUCCAAAAGAGAUCUCUUGGUCUUGGAUCUUACCUACUAAAUGUGCCACUUAAUUGAUGCUUUUUGAUAAUGACGUGUUUUCUUUGUGAAGCAAAGUCUUUGUAUAUAUAUAUCUUAAUAAAGGAUAUUUAAAAACUGUA
This is a long non-coding RNA of Camponotus floridanus (Florida carpenter ant), 722 nucleotides long. RefSeq lists it as uncharacterized. The record is from RefSeq and is a predicted model, not a curated record. The transcript is spliced from 3 exons. Lineage: Eukaryota; Metazoa; Arthropoda; Insecta; Hymenoptera; Formicidae.